UAAGUUGUCAAGAUGAUCGCGGCUGUACUUCGGUACAGGUGAGGAAAGUCCGGGCUCCACAGGGCAGUGUGCUGGAUAACGUCCAGCGAGGGCGACCUUAGGGACAGUGCCAUAGAGAUUUAGACCGCCGGAGCAAUCCGGUAAGGGUGGAAAGGUGCGGUAAGAGCGCACCAGCAGUCAGGUGACUGGCUGGCUUUGGUAAACCCCACACGGAGCAAGACUGAAUAGGGAAGGGUUGAUGCGGCCCGCGGACCUUCCGGGUUAAGUCGCUUGAGCGAGGGAGCAAUCCCUUUGCCUAGAUAAAUGAUCAUCACCGCCGUCAGGCGGCACAGAACUCGGCUUAUUGAUUGCUUAUGCC
RNAcentral lists this RNase P RNA (358 nucleotides) under Pseudoselenomonas ruminantium. Its description in RNAcentral is "Selenomonas ruminantium (feces metagenome) RNase P RNA component class A". It matches the Rfam family "Bacterial RNase P class A". Rfam says of the family: Ribonuclease P (RNase P) is a ubiquitous endoribonuclease, found in archaea, bacteria and eukarya as well as chloroplasts and mitochondria. Its best characterised activity is the generation of mature 5'-ends of tRNAs by cleaving the 5'-leader elements of precursor-tRNAs. Lineage: Bacteria; Bacillati; Bacillota; Negativicutes; Selenomonadales; Selenomonadaceae. The record is from RNAcentral.